AUGUUCUUAUUCGGUGAUUCUCAUGAAGAUUUUAAUGGAGUUUCAAGUUCAUCAUUCUUCGUUCUUUUCUUCUCCGGUGGUUUCAAGUCAAGCUUUGUUGAUCAUACCCUUUCCUCAUGUCAAUGCUUUCUCAUGCCGGUGCAAUUCUUAAUCAUUCACUUCUCGUUAUUCAAUUGUUCUAGAGUGCUCAAGAUAUUUCGAAGAUUCAUGUUACGACACUGCUUUCGUUCAAACUCUUUCGAGAAUGUUAUAUCAUUUAAGCCUUUUAAUUCAACCGGUGCAAUCUCUCUUUUCAAAUAA
Molecule: ribosomal RNA, 300 nt
Filed under: Triticum aestivum (bread wheat)
Lineage: Eukaryota; Viridiplantae; Streptophyta; Magnoliopsida; Poales; Poaceae
Description: partial small subunit ribosomal RNA
Source: RNAcentral